RNAcentral lists this ribosomal RNA (522 nucleotides) under uncultured Glomus. RNAcentral describes it as "SSU rRNA". It matches the Rfam family "Eukaryotic small subunit ribosomal RNA", at positions 569 to 1092 of the family's 1831-position model. Lineage: Eukaryota; Fungi; Glomeromycota; Glomeromycetes; Glomerales; Glomeraceae. The record is from RNAcentral.
AGCAGCCGCGGUAAUUCCAGCUCCAAUAGCGUAUAUUAAAGUUGUUGCGGUUAAAAAGCUCGUAGUUGAAUUUCGGGGUUAGUAGGCUGGUCGUGCCACAGGUAUGCACUGGUCUUACUGAUUCCUCCUUCCUGAUGAACCGUAAUGCCAUUAAUUUGGUGUUGCGGGGAGUCUGGACUGUUACUUUGAAAAAAUUAGAGUGUUUAAAGCAGGCUAACGCUUGAAUACAUUAGCAUGGAAUAACGAAAUAGGACGUUCGAUCCUAUUUUGUUGGUUUCUAGGAUUGACGUAAUGAUUAAUAGGGAUAGUUGGGGGCAUUAGUAUUCAAUUGUCAGAGGUGAAAUUCUUGGAUUUAUUGAAGACUAACUACUGCGAAAGCAUUUGCCAAGGAUGUUUUCAUUAAUCAAGAACGAAAGUUAGGGGAUCGAAGACGAUCAGAUACCGUCGUAGUCUUAACCAUAAACUAUGCCGACUAGGGAUCGGAUGAUGUUAAUUUUUUAAUGACUCAUUCGGCGCCUUACG